GUCCGAGACGAUAUCUUCAGGGAGUCCGUAGAAGCGGAACACAUAACUGCACAGAGCCUCUGCUGUUUCUA
Molecule: non-coding RNA, 71 nt
Organism: Pangasianodon gigas (Mekong giant catfish)
Lineage: Eukaryota; Metazoa; Chordata; Actinopteri; Siluriformes; Pangasiidae
Source: the annotation of a GenBank genome assembly